UACGGAGGAUGCGAGCGUUAUCCGGAUUUAUUGAGUUUAAAGGGUGCGUAGGCGGCCGAGUAAGUCAGCGGUGAAAUUUUGCAGCUUAACUGUAACAGUGCCGUUGAUACUGCAUGGCUAGGAUUUGGUUUGCUGUGGGUGGAAUGUGUGGUGUAGCGGUGAAAUGCUUAGAUAUCACACAGAAUAUCAAUUGCGAAGGCAGCUCACAAAGCCAAGAUUGACGCUGAGGCACGAAAGUAGUGGGGAGUCAAA
Molecule: ribosomal RNA, 252 nt
Filed under: uncultured prokaryote
Description: partial 16S ribosomal RNA
Rfam family: Bacterial small subunit ribosomal RNA
Source: RNAcentral